This 496-nucleotide ribosomal RNA is filed under the name uncultured bacterium. RNAcentral describes it as "partial 16S ribosomal RNA". It matches the Rfam family "Bacterial small subunit ribosomal RNA", at positions 28 to 506 of the family's 1533-position model. The record is from RNAcentral.
GAUGAACGCUGGCGGCGUGCCUAAUACAUGCAAGUCGAGCGAACAGAUGAGGAGCUUGCUCCUCUGACGUUAGCGGCGGACGGGUGAGUAACACGUGGAUAACCUACCUAUAAGACUGGGAUAACUUCGGGAAACCGGAGCUAAUACCGGAUAAUAUAUUGAACCGCAUGGUUCAAUAGUGAAAGACGGUUUUGCUGUCACUUAUAGAUGGAUCCGCGCCGCAUUAGCUAGUUGGUAAGGUAACGGCUUACCAAGGCGACGAUGCGUAGCCGACCUGAGAGGGUGAUCGACCACACUGGAACUGAGACACGGUCCAGACUCCUACGGGAGGCAGCAGUAGGGAAUCUUCCGCAAUGGGCGAAAGCCUGACGGAGCAACGCCGCGUGAGUGAUGAAGGUCUUCGGAUCGUAAAACUCUGUUAUUAGGGAAGAACAAAUGUGUAAGUACCUAUGCACGUCUUGACGGUACCGAAUCAGAAAGCCACGGCUAACUACGU